Molecule: long non-coding RNA, 3888 nt
Organism: Anopheles merus
Lineage: Eukaryota; Metazoa; Arthropoda; Insecta; Diptera; Culicidae
Exons: 2
Source: RefSeq, a predicted model, not a curated record
GUCAUAUCGUUGUUGUUCCUUUGGUGUUAUAAAUCUGCUGAUCAUCAAUAUCGCAGCGAUAAAAACCGAUCAUCUUCGCUCUGCAACAACCUAUGAGCAAUGCAUCGUCAACCCACCGAAGCUUCUUCUGCACGCUGUUGCAGGACUGUAGGAAACCAUUGCAAAUGCGCUGAGAUUGCCCUGCUAAACAGCAAACAAAUUCAAAUGCUAACCAAAAUCGUCGUUGACAUUAAAAUGCAAAACGACGAGAUUAUUGAGUGGCUGCUUCAACGCGACCAAAAUCCAGUUCCGCAAGAAACGCCCGAAAUGAUACAGCCAACGCAAGAAAAUGAGGAAAUUAUUACGUUAAUUGCAUCUAAAAAGGAGUUAAUUGAUUUCGAGCAGAAUCUAGGCUUAGAGGAUCAGUUUGAGGACGUGAAGCGUAAAUUGCAGGCCAAAAUGAAGGCCACAGCGACAAUGGAGCGACUUCACGAGGCUUUGUACCUUAUGUUCAAUAGAUUGUUUUUGGUUGAAUGUAGCUGGAGCGGUAGAGGAGUUACUGGGCCGAAAAUACCCUUUCGACGAUAUGUAAAUGUAUUGCGGCUUUUUGCUGACGUAGGGAAUGUAGAUGGCCAAAAAGUAGAUUUUGCAUCCCUUGAGAAUUUUUUUCAAAAAAAGCUUCGAAAUGCAAAAAACAGUGCCAUUGUAUCCGGCACAAUAAAAAGCGUUUCUCGUAGCUCGUUCUCACGGAAGUGCAAAGGACGUCCUAAAAAAAAAAUGAAUUAGAUAGGGCAUCAUCCAUUAAUUAUGUAACACAAAAAAUGCAAAAUUUAAACCCCCUCCCUCUAACAAUAGUUUUUUUUUGUUGAAUGAAUUCAGUUUUUGUUGUGAUAUGAACUGUAUUGAGGGGCAUUCACAUUUUUUGAAUCGAAAAAAGCUUUGAUUAUAUUACAUUUUACAUAAGGAAAACUGUCGCAUACAGCAAUCAAGUUCAAAAAGAUUCUGUUAAUCGUAUGCUCAGCGUCGUUUGCAAUAUUCUUGCAUUACCAUCAUCAAAAGCGUAUUUCUUACGGCUAUCUUCCUGGUCCUCCAUAAAUAUGUUAAUCAAUCCAUAUUUUUUUCUUAGGCUUUAAAUAUUGUAUCAUCAUUAAAUUGAUUCUAUUUCACAUAACAUGCGAUGAUUAAUAUAUUACGCAUGUCUAAAAAAUACAAACAAAAUUGGUACUAUUUGCAGGAAGACAGCUUUUUCGAUGUAUGUAUCCAUAGAAUUACGACCAAUGAAAAAAGGGCUAACUGCAUUAACUCCAUCUCCAGUAUGGUUUAAAGGAAUUGGAUUCCUGUAUGCAGCUUUUCAGUUGAAUCUGGUGCCAUUUGUUUCGAAUCGCGUAUCGUCACCUGCGUAUGCCACUAUCAUCGAAUGCGUGCCUUUGCAAUCGAAUAAGUGCCACUGCGCUCUUCUCAGUAACGGAAUGCAACGUUACUGCGACGAUCCUUUCGAAAGUUUUUUUCGCUACACGACGGACGUGGUGAUUGACUAAAACCGGAUAUAAUUUGCAUAUUCACUUCACUUAUGCACACUUGCUCAUCAGUCCAAAAUUUAACACGCGCAAAGAUUCGGCUAGCAUUUGAAGCAUUCUGUAGCUUCAAAACACACAGCUGAAACACGAGCACUAUUCAAAUACGACCAAGCAAAUUGUUGGGAACACUACGUUGAGAAAAAGGUGCUUAAAGAGCAGAUUGACCGUAUGUCUGAAACGUUCUUUCUAGAAACCUUGUCAAUGUCGAUCUUACAAUGAUAUUUAUACGGAAGUUUCUUGAACUUUGCAACGGAUUUGUCAUGUCAACUAAAUAGCAUCGAGCGAUCCAGCCUGUAAAGCUCUGUUCGGUUGUCCAUAAAACAUAGUGUAGUGGCAAUAGAGAUAGGGUUGAAAGCGGUCACACUUGGGUAACAUAUUGGAUUUGAAGAAUCCAGACGCCCGAUUGUUGAUUCGUACGCGUGUUUUAAGCUGUAGAAUGCUUGUAUUAGUAGGAUCUUUGCGUGAGUUAAAUUUUGCUUUAGUAUAGGGAUUUAACGCUCUAAAAGGAUAAAAUUGAAUCCUAAAACAAAAAAGGUAUUAAAAUUAGCGUAGCCUUACCAUAAGCAAAUACUUCGUUCGAUUCACUCGGUAUCGCUACCGCUCGAUGUCGACAACAAGAGCAGGUUUCUUUACUUCGGAGCUCUCAAAGAGCUUGUCAGGAUUAGAUCGCUGUCGGGAUAUUACAAAAAAAUCACAAUUAAUGAAUAACUUGUACAGAACAGUAAUAGUAACAUGCACACUUGACUCAUACUUACUUGCUUACUUUUGUACUUUUGAGGUCUACAAGAGCACAAUGAAACGCUUUCAAUUUAGCGUCAACGUGUGUCAUACCAAACGGGACUCACAUAGCCUGAAAAUGUAUUUACAUAAAUUGUGUGCUUAGGAUGGUCCCAGAUUGUACCUACCUGAGGAUGUUUUUUUUAGUACAGCAAGCAAAGCCAUUUGUCGUGGUCGUCCUGCUGUACAUGAGGGUUGUGCUCUUGCGACCCAACCAUUCGUUAAAAUCACCAAGCAAGCUGGUUUUUUUUAAUUAAAUCAAUGAACUAAUGUAGUUUCGACCAUAUACUAUGGUCAUAAUAUUCCUGGUCGUCCAAAAUUUGGGAAGUUGGAGAAAAUGAGAUCAAAACGGUAUGCGAUAAACACGCGUUGUAAAAACUGCAUUCCCGGAACGCUCAGUCCCAGAAGAGGGAGAUCGUGCUACGAAUGCGCCAGAGAUGGCAGUAGAAAACGUCUACACUUAAAAAAGGAUAAAAAGGGAUUUAAAAACCUCACACUGCAUCAACCGUUGCCUAGAGCACGCUGCAGAAGCUCCGAAUGUGCGACUAUCCCUGGACAGGGUUAAUGGACCAGUACGAUAUAGCUGGUUUUGGAUAUGGAAUAGCGUGCGGUAUUUUCGGCAGUUCAACUUACCUCUAUAAAGUUAUAAGCAAAAUCAUUUCAAAAUACCUACAACACAUUACUGUGAAAGCAACAACAACAAAAAUGAAUGCACAAACACAACACUUACGUUACGACAAUACGCGUUUGGUAAUACUUUUUUAAUUAAAUACUAGGCGCCCUUUAUUAUCCAACCGUCUGCGAGCUACUUAAACGCACCUAUCAAACGGGUCUACUGCUAUAUCUGCAACCACCGACAGGGCGUGGGAGGUGGAUGGAGAGAGGACAGCGGGUAGGAGGAGACGACGAUAAUACCACUAAACCGUUGCGUCUUGCCGCAUUGGCUAGACCGACUGUAUGCUGCUGGCUGCCCGAAACUACCUAUCAACUACUUCCUUCCUCCCGAUACACGGAAACCAGAAGGGGAUUUUGUCGUCCCCGUACCACAUUCAACGCGCGCGUGUGUGUGUGUGUUUGCGCACGAGCACGUGCGUCAAAAACAAAGAGAUCGCAACAAAUUUUAACUGUUUUUCUUCCUCACCCUUCCCUACCUGGUCAUCUCUUAUACUUUAUAAGUCAGGCGUGUGUGUGUGUGUGUCGCUCUAUUUUUUCUCUGUUCUUUUAUACGUCUAAUUGAUUCUUUCUAUAAUAUAUAUUUAAAAAAAAACGUUACGCGACUUACUCUAAAUGUACAUCAAUGGGGGUCCAACAUUUUUCCAGCCAGUCUCCGUGCUUUGUUUCUUUUAUGUACGCUGGGACUGCGUGUGUCAUUGCAUCUUUUUUUUUUAAAUCAUCAAACGUGUUAUGUUCAGUCGGACCCAUCGUUUCAUAUUUUUCCAUAUUCUUUAACACUUGCAUCUCCCCCCUUUAGUUGCCCUGUUUUUUCUCCACCUGACGGUACAAACUCCAUUACAAGAAUUACAAAUAUCUUUUAACACACACACACACAUACUAA